This 482-nucleotide ribosomal RNA is filed under the name uncultured bacterium. RNAcentral describes it as "bacterial SSU rRNA". It matches the Rfam family "Bacterial small subunit ribosomal RNA", at positions 29 to 506 of the family's 1533-position model. The record is from RNAcentral.
UUGAACGCUGGCGGCAUGCUUUACACAUGCAAGUCGAGCGGCAGCGCGGGGGCAACCCUGGCGGCGAGCGGCGAACGGGUGAGUAACACAUCGGAACGUACCCAGUAAUGGGGGAUAACUAAUCGAAAGGUUAGCUAAUACCGCAUACGCCCUGAGGGGGAAAGUGGGGGAUCGCAAGACCUCACGUUAUUGGAGCGGCCGAUGUCGGAUUAGCUAGUUGGUGAGGUAAAGGCUCACCAAGGCGACGAUCCGUAGCGGGUCUGAGAGGACGACCCGCCACACUGGAACUGAGACACGGUCCAGACUCCUACGGGAGGCAGCAGUGGGGAAUUUUGGACAAUGGGCGCAAGCCUGAUCCAGCCAUGCCGCGUGAGUGAAGAAGGCCUUCGGGUUGUAAAGCUCUUUCGGCAGGAACGAAACGGUGAGGGCUAAUAUCCCUUGCUAAUGACGGUACCUGAAGAAGAAGCACCGGCUAACUACGU